GACGAACCGUGCAAACGUUAUUCGGAAUCACUGGGCUUAAAGCGCGCGUAGGCGGCGUCGUCAGUCGGGGGUGAAAUCCCAACGGCUCAACCGUGGAAUAGCCUUCGAUACUGCGAUGCUCGAGGGAGGUAGGGGCAUGUGGAACUUCCAGUGGAGCGGUGAAAUGUGUUGAGAUUGGAAGGAACGCCGGUGGCGAAAGCGACAUGCUGGAACUCUUCUGACGCUGAGGCGCGAAAGCUAGGGUAGCGAACGGG
RNAcentral lists this ribosomal RNA (254 nucleotides) under uncultured bacterium. RNAcentral's name for it is "partial 16S ribosomal RNA". It matches the Rfam family "Bacterial small subunit ribosomal RNA", at positions 524 to 776 of the family's 1533-position model. The record is from RNAcentral.